UUAUAAGAGACAGCAGCCGCCACGGUAAUACGGAGGGUGCAAGCGUUAAUCGGAAUUACUGGGCGUAAAGCGCACGCAGGCGGUUUGUUAAGUCAGAUGUGAAAUCCCCGAGCUUAACUUGGGAACUGCAUUUGAAACUGGCAAGCUAGAGUCUUGUAGAGGGGGGUAGAAUUCCAGGUGUAGCGGUGAAAUGCGUAGAGAUCUGGAGGAAUACCGGUGGCGAAGGCGGCCCCCUGGACAAAGACUGACGCUCAGGUGCGAAAGCGUGGGGAGCAAACAGGAUUAGAUACCCCUGUAGUCCCUGUCUCUUAUAC
RNAcentral lists this ribosomal RNA (314 nucleotides) under uncultured bacterium. RNAcentral describes it as "partial 16S ribosomal RNA". It matches the Rfam family "Bacterial small subunit ribosomal RNA", at positions 499 to 807 of the family's 1533-position model. The record is from RNAcentral.